AGAGGAAGGAAGGGGAAAAAAAAUUUGGAGAACUGAACAUUUGCAGCGUGAUCAUUCAAGCCUGCCAAAAGAUCCACCCAAAAGUGCCAGCUAAGGUGUUAGAGGACUGCAUUGCAGACACUUUAAAAUAUGCUCCCCAUCGUGAGUCAAGGAUGGAGCAUGAACAGCAGACGGACUAGUUUUCAGCACCCACACAGACAUCCACAUUUAUUUAAGUUCUUACUGAUUGUAUGUUUUAAUUAAAGUACUUACAUUUCCUGUCAAUUUAUAAUUAUUUUUCAUUAGUGUUAACCUACAUUUUAAACUUUGUUACAUUUUAUAUAAUUUUAUCUGUUAAUGAGUUAAGUUGUACAUGUUGUUAUGUUGUACCGGAAUGUUAUUAUUUAAUA
This is a non-coding RNA of Misgurnus anguillicaudatus (oriental weatherfish), 389 nucleotides long. Lineage: Eukaryota; Metazoa; Chordata; Actinopteri; Cypriniformes; Cobitidae. The record is from RefSeq and is a predicted model, not a curated record.